This 2073-nucleotide ribosomal RNA is filed under the name Triticum aestivum (bread wheat). RNAcentral describes it as "partial small subunit ribosomal RNA". The record is from RNAcentral. Lineage: Eukaryota; Viridiplantae; Streptophyta; Magnoliopsida; Poales; Poaceae.
AUGAUCAUAGUUGCUCUAGCGAUAGUAUCACUUCAUAACUUGCAGAUUCCAGCAGCACUUGUGCGGAUAGCUCUAGCAUUACUUCGGAUUAUACCAAUUAAUAAUGGUAAUUCUAGUUAUGGAAAACCCAGCAAACAAAACCUUCGACCGUCUCUAAGUAUCUUCUACGGGAUGGUGCUUGGACAAGGAAUAUUCUAUGCCAUGGCCUGCAUGUUCGAGUUCUUUUCUUUCAUCCCUCAAAAUUCCCUCUACCACCGUGUUGGAUUUAAAGGUAAGUGGGGAAUGGAAUCUGUCAAUAUGUAUUAUGCAUAUGCGUCAGAGAAAUGCAAGCAAGGGGGUGUUCUUGCUCCGAAGAAGAUCAGCCUCUGCACCUUUGCCAUGGAUUCUGUGAAGUCGGAUUCAUCCGAUAAUCAGCUCACCGGGAUACGAAUGAUGCACCACUUUCUGCAAAGUGAACCAACCAAGGCACAGCUCCUUUCAAAACUCGCCACUUCUACCAAGAUGAUGGCCAGAAUAAUCAGAAUGUUGGAUUGGGGGACAAGUCCAAAGAAUACAGAUAUCAGAUUAUAUGCUGCGAAGGUCGUGGCAGAACUUGCAAAGAACCUUCGUGUUGUCACUAUCCCUGGUACAAUGCAGCUUGUAUCUGCACUGCUUGACACUGAAAGUAGACUUAAAAGAGGAAAUCCACUCCUAGACACAGAUGAUGAACAGGAAGAAAGACACGAUCGAGUUCUCAAUACAGAAGAUGGACAAGAGGCAGCUGACAGCCAAUUGCAGAGACAAGGCCAACUUCUGGACACCGAAAAUAUGUUGGAAACACAAACCAGCUCAACUCAACAAGUUGGCAUCCACGAACAGAACUCCUGCGUGCUCAGAUGCUGGCAGCAGAUUUUAGAAUUCUGGUCAAUGCCCGAGGAGCUGCCGCCGAUAGACCACGAUCUUCUGCCUGUACUGGCCAUGUCAAUUAUACACAGUCUUGCUGGUUGUGACCAGGGCAACUGUGUGGAAAUCAGCAAAGCAGAUGACCUCAUCCCAAAGAUCACACGAUUCACAAGAUUCAAAAGUGACACAAUGAAUACUGAGGCACAACAGAAGAUCCUGGUGAAAUCAUCAUUGAAGGUGCUGCAAAGGCUUACAAGCAUAGGCGGGAAAAUCGGCAUCACACUGCGGUCCAAGAUAUCACAAGAUCCGUUCCUCUUUAGUAACCUUGCAGAGAUCUUGGGGAACAACAAGAGCAGCCAGGAAUCAAGAAAGUUGGUGGCCGGAAUCCUCAGAAACAUGGCCAUUGAUGAGAAAACAAGGCAGGAGAUUGGUCGCAACAAAAUUAUCAUCACCAAGCUGAUGCAGGCGUUUCUCAAUGCAGAAGGAACCACGAGUACCAAUCCUGAUCACUUGUCAAGGAAGGUCGCCGGGCAAGCACUGGCAAUGCUAACAAUACAAAGUGUUCAAAACUGCUUGGUUAUACUGAAGGAGCCAGAGUUCAUGAAGGAACUCAAAAUCUUGAUCCAUGAUAAACGGUACAUAUAUGUUGCGGCAAGCAUGUUGCGUAAUCUGUGCCUGCAUAGUGAAGCCGAGCUCAGAGACUCAGACCUGAAGGAGCUAUGUCAUACCUUACGAGAGGUGUGGGAAAGAAUAAUGGACGCGGAUGGGGCAGAACUAGAGAUCCUGAUUGGGCUUAGUUCACAGAUAUGUAAAGUGAAUCCUAAAGACUUCACCCGUGAACUGGACAAUGGUCAGAUUAAGCAGAGAUUUCUGAAGAGGCUUAUCGACACACUGAAUGAAAAUAUGAAACCUAGCAGUCAUUGUCCUGGGAUCAGGAGGAUGAUAGUUGAGCAAAUCAUACACUUGAUGGAGUGCAAUUCUAGUUAUGCAGAUUGCUUGAGUGAAUUCAGGAUGACGGAAGCAUUAUCAAUGGUAGAACAAACACUGUCAGAGGCUGAGGACUACAGGCUCUUCUUGGGUGAUGAAGGAUUUAUGAAGUACAACGUGCCUUUAUCCAAUUUUGUCGCCAUAGCAAAGAAAAUGUAUGUGUUGCGCUGUGUUAUGGCCCAGGCGCAGGAGAAUAGGGAUUAA